GCAGCGGGGCUCCUGGGGCCUGUCGGGAAGGGGCCUGGCGCGCGGGGCCCGCCGGGACUGGGGGUGUGCGGCUGCGCAGACUUGGUAACGCGAGAGCGCGCGGGGAGGGUGUGUCACGCCUCCCGAGACUGGGGCUGUGCGGCCUCACGGAGAAACUGAGGCAGGCGCGAAGCGUCGAGUGCGCGCGUGGCCCUGCAGGCAGGCGGAGACCCUGGUGGCUCCCAUACACGUAACAGCACUCACUGCUCUUUGACGUUAGUGAAUAGACCGUAAGCUCCCUGGAGCAGGGACCUUAUCCCAGCGUCUACCGCGGCGCCCGUCACCUAGGAAACCUCCAUUUUCUAAGGCCUUUCAGCUGAUUGGAUGUGGUCCACCCAUGUUAUUGAAGAUAAUAUUUUUUAAGGCUUCCUCCUUGGAGGGACCUCAGAAGUCCCAGGCUUCAUAGUGUCAAGUUCAACAGAAAGAGUAGUUUUCAUCUUUCCACAGUUCUUAGAAAAGUCCUGAGACUGAGUUUUACUGGAGACUGCCAGGCUGCUGGUAUUCAAGGUAACUGCAGAACUAGGAAACAGGGAGAGGAUGAAGGAGGACAGAGCUCACUGUUUUCAUCAUGACUCAAAUGUUUUUCCAGAAUAAAUGCUCCUAGACUGCUGCGAGCCUUUGGUUACUUUUCAGAGUUCUGAAUACGUGAUUUUGACCAUUUUUGCUAGGCUUCAUGUUGCCUUUAUGGAGGAGAGAAUUUUCAGAGGUCCUUACUCUGUUAAUUUCACUGAUGUCACUAAAGUUACAGUUUUAACUCUUAUGGGUAUCUAUCUUUUCAGGCAAUGUCAGUUUAGUAAAAGGGACAGGAUGUUAGCAAAGGAAGGCAUUACCAGCAAUAAGAAGUGAUAGCUGCCACGGGAAGCAAAUGCAGAAACAGCAGCCUGGGCUGUUCCAUGCAGGGGAGUUCAGCUCAGGUGGGCAAAACCAGAUAACUAACAUGAACAGUGGAACAAUCAGUGAACCAAUACAAGGGUUAAAUAAGCUAGCAAUUAAAAGCUGUAUCACUGGUCUAAAGAUAGAAGAUCAAGUAGAAAAUCAGCGCAAGAGGAAAGAUAUACGAAAACUAAUGACCUUCAAGGUUUGGCUGAACAGCUGAACUGCAGGAUGGAUUGGAAUGCCUAGAACCAGAAACUUAGGAUGCCUAGAACCAGAAACUCAGCCAUUGCUGAGGUUCACUGCUUCUCAGCGCUGCUGCUUUAUACACACAAACUGUAUUCUCUCCCACUGUUUUGUCUUCUUUCAUAAAGCAGGAAACAUAGGUGCUCAUAACUUGUGAGUUUUAAGUCUUACUCUAGAGUUUACAAAUGCAAAUGCCUCUAGGUGCCAGGAAAGUGACAUAAGUAAGUGAAGCAAGCUGAAUGUGCCAAUCCUGAGUGGUGGGGACUGGCAAACUGGAAACCCCAUGCCCUGUCUCCAGAGUCAGCCAUGACUCACUGCCAGUCUAUUGCCAGGUAGGAAUGUGAGCUUAGACUUUCAGAUUUUUCCAGAGAAACUUGACAUCUAGAUUUUUAUGUGAAUAUCCUGAUUUCUAAUGCUGGCAGUGAAUUCAAACUAAAAACCAACACUGUGUUGUCCAAACAAAACACAUUUGUGGGUUACAUUUGACCUCUUGAUUCAUGUGUUACUUUUGGAGUUAAAUAACUCGAGGUCUGAAAAUUGACCACUGAGUUUGGCCACAUCAAGCUUAUUAAUGACCUUGACAAAGCCAAUUUCAGAAGAUGAUGGGGUGAUGCCUGAGUAGAGAGGGUUCAGUAGAGAACUGGGGAUGAGGAAGUAGCUAUGACCUAUAUGGACAGCUCUUUAAAGGAUUUGGCGUAGAGAGGAGCAGAGAAUUGGGGUAAGAGCUGGAGAGCACAGGAAGUUGCUAGGGGAUCUUAAAAGAGGGGACAAAUGACAGAAUGUCUGUUGAUGCUGAUGGAAAUAAUCCACUACAGGGUGAAAACGUCAUGAAAGAGGAGGAUUAUGCUAACACAUGAGGAAUUUCAUGGGCAGGAAGAAAUGGGGACUGGUUUACAAAUGGAGGAGCUGACCCUAGAUAGGAGCCCUUGAAGCUUGUGUAUUGGGACAGGACAGCAGAAUAUAUGGGAGCAGAUGCCUGUAGAUUUAGUGGCAGCAAGAUAAGGGAAUUCUCUUCAGAUUGCUCUAAUUUCUUGUGAAAGAAGAGGCAAGAUCACCAUCAACUGAGGGUGAAGAUGGAAUAGGAAGGGACAGGAGAGGUUGUGAUUCUGUCAUCUUGGAGUAGGCCCACAUCUUGGGGGCUAUCUUGGGGUGCUAUGCCUUACUCCUCUUUUCUGAACAUCAUUAAAAUGUAAUUUUGUAUUUUUGCAUUUAAUGCUAUCCCGCAGGCCCUGAAAGAUGCCUAAAAGGCAGCCUUCCCUCAGGUACCAUUGUGCUGAGGUUUGCCACCCGCAUCUUCUUGAGACAGCCCCACUAAGACAAUGAGAGCGUGUCCUGACCCAUUAAUGUGCCCAGGUUCCCAAACGCCUCUGUCAGCCUGUGGUCUUGACUUUGAAGUAAAACCAGUCCCCUGGUUGCUGUUUCCCCAGCAACAUUAACUGCUGGGGUGCAGAGUGAGGCAGGAGGAGAGUCAGACUUAGCCAGGCUUUGAGUUGCACCAGGCAGAUAAUGUAGAGGGAGGGGGGCAAGUCAUACUUUCCUACUUGUAGAGUAGUGCUUACUUUACAGAGUACCUAUGAAGAUUUGUAAAAAUGCACACUUGGCUUCUGGCCUAGCACAUAGGUAAUUCAGUCAUUACUUGGUGAAGGACAUGAAUAAUAUAUGUAAAAUAUCUGGCCAUUAGAAGAAGCUGGGAAGGGCUAACAGGAUGUAUGAGAGACUGCUUCUGAGUCUUAAUGGCCAGGCAUUGUGCUGAGGCUGUGGGCCAUGGAGGAGCUCCCGUCUUGGCACAGGAGAAAGAAAUGUGGACACACCGCUACCGUGUAGUGUGAUGAGUCUAGGAAUUAAGAUAUACCAGUGGUAAUUAAAUCUCAAAAUAAUAGUGUCUUAACAGAAAUAAACCCAUGCAUAAAUGGUUGGUUGACUUUGACAAAGUGCCAAGUGCACACAAUGGGGAAGGACAAUUGGACAUCCACAUGUAGAAAAAGGUAGUUGGAUCCUAUCACACCACAUAUAAAAAUCAACCCAAAUGGAGUGAAGACUUAAAUGUAAGACCUGAAACUAUAAAACUACUGGAAGAAACAUAGGAGAAAUUCUUCAUGAUGCUGGUCUAGGCAAUGGUUUUUUUUGGAUUUGAUCCCAGAAGCAUAGGCAACAAAAGCAAAAAUCGACAAAUGGGAUUAUAUGAAACUAACAAGCUUUUGCGCAGCAAAGGAAACAAUUAUCAGAGUGAAAACACAGCCUAUGGA
This 3404-nucleotide long non-coding RNA is filed under the name Homo sapiens (human). Its description in RNAcentral is "HSALNT0314520". The record is from RNAcentral. Lineage: Eukaryota; Metazoa; Chordata; Mammalia; Primates; Hominidae.